UGGGGAAUAUUGCACAAUGGGCGCAAGCCUGAUGCAGCGACGCCGCGUGCGGGAUGGAGGCCUUCGGGUUGUAAACCGCUUUUGUUCAAGGGCAAAGCACGGUCUUUGGCCGUGUUGAGUGGAUUGUUCGAAUAAGCACCGGCUAACUACGUGCC
This 155-nucleotide ribosomal RNA is filed under the name uncultured bacterium. Its description in RNAcentral is "partial 16S ribosomal RNA". It matches the Rfam family "Bacterial small subunit ribosomal RNA", at positions 355 to 509 of the family's 1533-position model. The record is from RNAcentral.